AUUUGACUAGUAACUCAUGUAGAGUUUAAAGUGUAGUAUACAAAAGAUUAUUACAACUACAAUACGGAAAAUGUAAACUCUCAAAGUGUAAAAUCGAACCAAACGAUCCAAAGCUUCUUCAAUACCACCAAUGGAGCCUCCUAUGAUGUUGAGCUCAGAUUUGUGCCACACCGGAUCAUACACCGUCGUCUAUGGGAAUGACAAUGGAUAUAACGAGAAAAGAUCCGCCGAAAGCCACCAAGAAUUUCAUCGGAGAUAAGGAAAGCUCCAACUUGGUUACCUCUCUAU
This 288-nucleotide long non-coding RNA is filed under the name Olea europaea subsp. europaea. Lineage: Eukaryota; Viridiplantae; Streptophyta; Magnoliopsida; Lamiales; Oleaceae. The record is from RNAcentral.